AGAGUUUGAUCAUGGCUCAGGACGAACGCUGGCGGCGUGCCUAACACAUGCAAGUCGAACGACCUAGCAAUAGGCGAGUGGCGGACGGGUGAGUAACACGUGGGAACCUGCCCGAAGAGCGGGAUAACAGCGGGAAACCGCUGCUAAUACCGCAUACGCCCCGGGCAUCUGAUGAGGAAAUGGAUUUCGCUUCGGGAGGGGCUCGCGCCCUAUCAGCUUGUUGGUGGGGUAACGGCCCACCAAGGCGACGACGGUAGCUGGUCUGAGAGGACGAUCAGCCACACUGGGACUGAGACACGGCCCAGACUCCUACGGGAGGCAGCAGUGGGGAAUAUUGCGCAAUGGGCGCAAGCCUGAUCCAGCAACGCCGCGUGGUGAUGACGGCCUUCGGUGUAAAGCUCU
This 402-nucleotide ribosomal RNA is filed under the name uncultured forest soil bacterium. Its description in RNAcentral is "bacterial SSU rRNA". It matches the Rfam family "Bacterial small subunit ribosomal RNA", at positions 8 to 434 of the family's 1533-position model. The record is from RNAcentral.